Molecule: ribosomal RNA, 1331 nt
Filed under: Citrobacter freundii
Lineage: Bacteria; Pseudomonadati; Pseudomonadota; Gammaproteobacteria; Enterobacterales; Enterobacteriaceae
Description: partial 23S ribosomal RNA
Rfam family: Bacterial large subunit ribosomal RNA
Source: RNAcentral
GGCGACGGUUGUCCCGGUUUAAGCAUGUAGGCGGAGGUUCCAGGUAAAUCCGGUACCUUUUUAACGCUGAGGUGUGAUGACGAGGCACUACGGUGCUGAAGUAACAAAUGCCCUGCUUCCAGGAAAAGCCUCUAAGCAUCAGGUAACACGAAAUCGUACCCCAAACCGACACAGGUGGUCAGGUAGAGAAUACCAAGGCGCUUGAGAGAACUCGGGUGAAGGAACUAGGCAAAAUGGUGCCGUAACUUCGGGAGAAGGCACGCUGAUAUGUAGGUGAAGCGGUUUACCCGUGGAGCUGAAAUCAGUCGAAGAUACCAGCUGGCUGCAACUGUUUAUUAAAAACACAGCACUGUGCAAACACGAAAGUGGACGUAUACGGUGUGACGCCUGCCCGGUGCCGGAAGGUUAAUUGAUGGGGUUAUCCGUAAGGAGAAGCUCUUGAUCGAAGCCCCGGUAAACGGCGGCCGUAACUAUAACGGUCCUAAGGUAGCGAAAUUCCUUGUCGGGUAAGUUCCGACCUGCACGAAUGGCGUAAUGAUGGCCAGGCUGUCUCCACCCGAGACUCAGUGAAAUUGAACUCGCUGUGAAGAUGCAGUGUACCCGCGGCAAGACGGAAAGACCCCGUGAACCUUUACUAUAGCUUGACACUGAACACUGGUCCUUGAUGUGUAGGAUAGGUGGGAGGCUUUGAAGUGUGGACGCCAGUCUGCAUGGAGCCAUCCUUGAAAUACCACCCUUUAAUGGCUGGUGUUCUAACGUGGACCCGUUACCCGGGUUGCGGACAGUGUCUGGUGGGUAGUUUGACUGGGGCGGUCUCCUCCUAAAGAGUAACGGAGGAGCACGAAGGUUAGCUAAUCCUGGUCGGACAUCAGGAGGUUAGUGCAAAGGCAUAAGCUAGCUUGACUGCGAGAGUGACGGCUCGAGCAGGUGCGAAAGCAGGUCUUAGUGAUCCGGUGGUUCUGAAUGGAAGGGCCAUCGCUCAACGGAUAAAAGGUACUCCGGGGAUAACAGGCUGAUACCGCCCAAGAGUUCAUAUCGACGGCGGUGUUUGGCACCUCGAUGUCGGCUCAUCACAUCCUGGGGCUGAAGUAGGUCCCAAGGGUAUGGCUGUUCGCCAUUUAAAGUGGUACGCGAGCUGGGUUUAGAACGUCGUGAGACAGUUCGGUCCCUAUCUGCCGUGGGCGCUGGAGAAUUGAGGGGGGCUGCUCCUAGUACGAGAGGACCGGAGUGGACGCAUCACUGGUGUUCGGGUUGUCAUGCCAAUGGCAUUGCCCGGUAGCUAAAUGCGGAAGAGAUAAGUGCUGAAAGCAUCUAAGCACGAAACUUGCCCC